RNAcentral lists this ribosomal RNA (492 nucleotides) under uncultured bacterium. RNAcentral describes it as "partial 16S ribosomal RNA". It matches the Rfam family "Bacterial small subunit ribosomal RNA", at positions 29 to 507 of the family's 1533-position model. The record is from RNAcentral.
AGUGAACGCUGGCGGUAGGCCUAACACAUGCAAGUCGAACGGCAGCACAGUAAGAGCUUGCUCUUACGGGUGGCGAGUGGCGGACGGGUGAGGAAUACAUCGGAAUCUACUUUUUCGUGGGGGAUAACGUAGGGAAACUUACGCUAAUACCGCAUACGACCUACGGGUGAAAGCAGGGGAUCUUCGGACCUUGCGCGUUUGAAUGAGCCGAUGUCGGAUUAGCUAGUUGGCGGGGUAAAGGCCCACCAAGGCGACGAUCCGUAGCUGGUCUGAGAGGAUGAUCAGCCACACUGGAACUGAGACACGGUCCAGAGUCCUACGGGAGGCAGCAGUGGGGAAUAUUGGACAAUGGGCGCAAGCAUGAUCCAGCAAUACCGCGUGGGUGAAGAAGGCCUUCGGGUUGUAAAGCCCUUUUGUUGGGAAAGAAAAGCAGCAGGUUAAUACCCCGCUGUUCUGACGGUACCCAAAGAAUAAGCACCGGCUAACUUCGUG